GGGGGCGAUCAUAUCAGUGUUAAUGCACAGGAUCCCAUCAGAACUCAGCAGUUAAGCACGCUUGGGCUAGAGUAGUACUGGGAUGGGUCACCCCUCGAGAAGUCCUAGUGUUGCACCCU
Non-coding RNA from Picea glauca (white spruce), 119 nucleotides. The record is from Rfam. Lineage: Eukaryota; Viridiplantae; Streptophyta; Pinopsida; Pinales; Pinaceae.